Molecule: ribosomal RNA, 478 nt
Filed under: uncultured bacterium
Lineage: Bacteria
Description: partial 16S ribosomal RNA
Rfam family: Bacterial small subunit ribosomal RNA
Source: RNAcentral
GACGAACGCUGGCGGCGUGCUUAACACAUGCAAGUCGAACGGUAAGGCCCUUCGGGGUACACGAGUGGCGAACGGGUGAGUAACACGUGGGUGAUCUGCCCUGCACUUCGGGAUAAGCCUGGGAAACUGGGUCUAAUACCGGAUAGGACUCCUGGCUUCAUGGUUGGGGGUGGAAAGCUUUUGCGGUGCGGGAUGGGCGCGCGGCCUAGCAGCUUGUGGGUGGGGUAAUGGCCUACCAAGGCGACGACGGGUAGCCGGCCUGGGAGGGUGACCGGUCACACUGGGACUGGGAUACGGCACAGACUCCUACGGGAGGCAGCAGUGGGGAAUAUUGGACAAUGGGCGCAAGCCUGAUGCAGCGACGCCGCGUGAGGGAUGACGGCCUUCGGGUUGUAAACCUCUUUCAGCUAUGACGAAGCGCAAGUGACGGUAGUAGCAGAAGAAGGACCGGCCAACUACGUGCCAGCAGCAGCCGCGG